UUCCUUCUUCCAAGUGGAGUGCACUGGAGUUCAGCAACCAACACAGAGAACCCAGAAACCAGGCCAGCAGAACCCGUGAUACAGAUGUGUGUUGGCGUCUUGAAGAAGUCCCAAGGGGACUCUGGCCAGGUCAGAGCUGGGAGUAGAAACCCCCAAGUGAGGCAGCCUCAGUUGAGGAACUCUGGAAAGAGAAUCUCCUGUUUCCCAGAGGCAGAGAGUGAGCAGAAUGGACCAUAGGGCAGAUAUCUGGAUAGAAGAGAGCCUGCCGAGUGCUAAUAAAAGAUUUUCCCAUCCCUGCCUAUCUGGAGAAGACAUUCCCUGGGAAUGGAAGAGAAGGUAAUCAACCUGAACGAGGACCCUGAUAGAGGUUCUGAAUGCUUCCCUCGUCCUGGUAUAACCCAGAAGAGACGGUCCUCAACGCCCUUCUCAAACUUUGGUUUUCUUGCCUAGUGUGUGGACUUGGAUGCCCACCAGGGCCUUUCCUCCUCGCGGAGUGGCAGCAUGAGCUGCAAAUGGAACUGGGGCUGCGAUGCUGGUGAGUUACUUAAUUGACUGCUCAUGAAAAGUGGACUUCAUGAACUCAUGGGGAAAGAAAGAAACCAUAUUCAAAUCCAGAACAUCUUCCUGAAGAAAAGAAAGAAAACAGAUCAUUAAAACAGUUUUGUUUUGUUUUGUUUUUAAAGAACUCCUAAAGAAAAGGCACCCCAGAUGAAAGGCUGGUUUCUCCUGUAGGUGUUUUUUGUAUUUUUCUGUGUUAUUAGAGGUGAAAGCUGUUAGGUACAAAGCCUGGCCUACUUCAAAAGCUGGAGGUCUUGCCUUAAGGCAUCAUAAUUAUUUUAGGUUCAACCUUCUGUGGUAUCACAGCUACAAUGUAAAAAGGGAAAAUGCCUAGAGUUGAGGUUUAUUUUAAAUUACAUUAAAAAAAUACAAGAUAUAAACUAGAAAGCACACAAUGUAAGAACUCUAAAAUGUGGGAAAAAAAAAUAUGUGUCAGACCGAUGAUAAAAUGUAAUGGAAAGAAACAUGGAAGAGUUGAUCUUGUGCAAACUAGAACGCCAUUUUAAUUCCUUUACUACGUCUUUAGAAAAUGUUUCUUUACUAUUCCUUCAGGUUAUUCAUACUGACUGAUAAUGUCAAAGCGGUAGUAACUUGAAAAAAAGAAUGUUACACUGAUAAAAUUCCAUUUAUUUUAUUCAGACCCAGAACGGGUAUUUGAGCCGGUGUAACAGAUGGGUUAUGUGAACAUUGCAAGUAAUUUGGGCACAGUACUAUAAAUAUGCAAGUAAAUGUCACUACUUAAAGGGAUUUACGUAUUCAGCAAUUAUUAGAUAUUCAGUAAAUUAUUUUGUAAAGAGAUCAAUCUUUUUGUAUAGGCAUUAUCACUCUAAAUAUAUCUGAAUUUUCACAUACCGAGAUGUUCUACAGUGAGGCAGGGCUGUGUUUUAUCAUCUUAUUAUUUCUGAUUGGCUUGGUUUUUUUUAAAGAGUCUUGUACAAUUUGUACUGCUAGUAUAAAGCAUAAGUAUAUGAGGACUGACCCUAUAAAUGAGAAAGAGAAUAAAUUGGAGGCCACUGGGGUACAAUUCGGUAUAUUAACUCACCCUUGAUUUAAAUUUUAACCUAAUAGAAUGAAGUCACAGCUGGGUGGAGAGGAGAAUGGUUUCCUGCCAGUCAUUGUAGCUGCCCGGUCAGGAGAGAGAGGAACCACUUGUUCCCCAGUGGGUAACAACAUGGACAGAAGGGUUCAAGUUUCCUUACCUCACACAUCACCACAGACACACACAUGCGCACCAGCCAUUACAUUAUUUAGAAUAUUGGUUUAGUUGCGGAUAAAAAAGAUCCAAAAUAAUAGGGGUUGAAAGAAACCAAUUUAUUUGUCACACAUAAGUGGAUAAUUCCAUAAAUGGCAACUCCUUAUUUAUCUGGGACUCAGGAUGCUUCUACACUUUAUCUCCUCCACCCCUGGAAAGCGGCUGCAAUCCUCAUAGUCCACAAUAGGGAACCAGCAAUCAUUCCAUUUCCCAAAAAGUGUUAUAGAAGAAAGACUGUGGAAGGAACUUCAGAUUGUUAUCUAAUAUCUAGUUUCCCUUUCCAAAUGGAAGCCACAUGGCUGCUGGAACAAAAUUUCAUUUCCAGUCUCGUUGCAGCUAGAACUUCUGGGUAAUGGAAGGUGAGGAAAAGAGAUUAUGUGCGACUUCCUGGUUGUGUCAUUAAACACGGUGGCAAUGUACCACUUCUUCUCUUUCCUCCAUCUGGGACAAUGAGGUCAAAGGUCACUGGGCGCACAAUGGAGCCACUACAUCAAUGUUAACCUGCAUUGCCUGCAUUGAGGCUUUUUACAGGGGCCCAAGCUACCACCUUUCUAAGCACGAAUGACCAAUAAAGCGGAUGCUCCUCAAAAAAACAACAAAACAAAACCUUUACAAGGGAGACAAAUAAAUUUCUAUCUCUUUA
Hipposideros armiger (great roundleaf bat) is the source of this 2453-nucleotide long non-coding RNA. RefSeq lists it as uncharacterized. NCBI's taxonomy places the organism in Eukaryota, Metazoa, Chordata, Mammalia, Chiroptera, Hipposideridae. The transcript is spliced from 2 exons. The record is from RefSeq and is a predicted model, not a curated record.